Hypanus sabinus (Atlantic stingray) is the source of this 1496-nucleotide long non-coding RNA. RefSeq lists it as uncharacterized. The record is from RefSeq and is a predicted model, not a curated record. The transcript is spliced from 4 exons. NCBI's taxonomy places the organism in Eukaryota, Metazoa, Chordata, Chondrichthyes, Myliobatiformes, Dasyatidae.
UUGAUUUCAUGCCACUGCGUGAUUUAAUGGGAUGACGCAGUUUAGCUGAAGGGUGAAGUUUUAUCAAAUGCCAAAAGUUUAAAAGAUCAUUGCCAGCAGGUUCUUGAAAUACUGCUAGUUCCGAAAUCAGUGGAGAGUGAAGAUCGAAGAUCGAGGAGGAUCUACUUCGACGGUGAAACGGGUUCGACCUUAUUUAAUCCUUAUUCGAAAGGAUUUCGUGGACUGUUCACGUGUUAAUCUCUGCGGGAAAGCAGGAGAUUGAGGACAGUGCGAUAAAGGAAAGAACCCCUUGCCGAACUCAUAUAUUCAUUGUUGCCGGAAUAUGUAACAGGAUGACAUCAGCUUUUCUGUCAAUGCAGAAGCAUCUCACCCACUUCCACGUAGCAAAUCAGUGGUCAGCACUUUACACCACUUAAUAUCUUUGAAUCCAAACCCCAGCUCCUGAAGGGAAAAAGGAAAAUAUGUGCGAAAGUCUGAGAUGCAUAUUCCCACAUAGCUGUCCAGAACACAGCAGGUAACCGUUUGAAUGAAGGUUCCCAGCCCGAGCUGUCGACUGGUUGCUGAGUUCCUCCAACAUUCUCUGUGUGUUUGCUUCUGUUUGUUUAUUGAUUAAAAUAAUCAGACUGGUUCAGUGGAAGAGGAAUUUGUGGAAUGGUCAGAGACAGUUUCAUACAGUAGUUUAUUUACCCAGGAACAUGCCAUUUCAGUUGUAAUCUGUGUAAAGAGGUGGUAUUACAGAGAGUUCUUGCGGUGAAGGAUCCUGAAUAUGAGCAGUGGCAGAUGUUUAAGGAGAAGGUUCGUUAGAGCCGACAUUUAUCCCGAUCAGACAGAGGAAUCACAGGGAGCAAACAACAGUCUGUGGUUAAAAGAGUUCAAGGUAAAUAUUAACUCAGAGAACAAACAAAGAGGCAAAGACAGGGUGGACAAAACAGUCGGGAUUUUUCCAGUAACUCAUGAUGCGACAAAAGAUAAAAAUAUCAAGGAAAAACAGAUUAGUUAACUCAAUAAUUUCCAUUAGUGUUUUCAGUGGGGACACAGCAAACAUCCUACAGAUAUCUAACGGUGACAUUUCAAUGCUGUGCCAUAAUGUGUAGCAAUCACCAUCAGGGGUGAUAAACUAAUGGGACUAAAAGCAAAAAUAUCCAGUUCCCAACGACCUGCACCAGACGGUUUCACAGGAAGGCUGGAGAGAAAGUAGAGACAUUGGAAUCUGUCAAAAAUCACUGUUACAGAAAGGUCCCAGUGGAGCUGAAAACCAUUGCUGAAGGGUGGAAGAGAAAGGAAAACAAAGUAGGUAACUGUACUGGAGUCUAUAAUCUGUGAAGAAAUGACAAGUCAUUUAGAAAAGUUUAAUGUCAUUGAACUAAACCAAGAGGGUUUACAGUCAGAUUCACACAGCACAGAAACAAGUCUUCAGCUCAAAUGGUCCACACUGACCAAAAUUCCCAUCUGAGCUUCUGGUCUGUAACCGCCUCACAACGAUAUUAUGAACAAUG